GUUUAAUUCGAAGCAACGCGCAGAACCUUACCAGCGUUUGACAUGUCCGGACGAUUUCCAGAGAUGGAUCUCUUCCCUUCGGGGACUGGAACACAGGUGCUGCAUGGCUGUCGUCAGCUCGUGUCGUGAGAUGUUGGGUUAAGUCCCGCAACGAGCGCAACCCUCGCCUUUAGUUACCAUCAUUCAGUUGGGGACUCUAAAGGAACCGCCGGUGAUAAGCCGGAGGAAGGUGGGGAUGACGUCAAGUCCUCAUGGCCCUUACGCGUUGGGCUACACACGUGCUACAAUGGCGGUGACAGUGGGCAGCAAACCGGCGACGGUGAGCUAAUCUCCAAAAGCCGUCUCAGUUCGGAUUGUUCUCUGCAACUCGAGAGCAUGAAGGCGGAAUCGCUAGUAAUCGCGGAUCAGCAUGCCGCGGUGAAUACGUUCCCAGGCCUUGUACACUCCGCC
RNAcentral lists this ribosomal RNA (450 nucleotides) under uncultured Alphaproteobacteria bacterium. RNAcentral describes it as "bacterial SSU rRNA". It matches the Rfam family "Bacterial small subunit ribosomal RNA", at positions 944 to 1394 of the family's 1533-position model. The record is from RNAcentral. Lineage: Bacteria; Pseudomonadati; Pseudomonadota; Alphaproteobacteria.